AUGACCUAACCUAGCCGCCAACCCUCACAUUUACUCUGCGCUCUCCACUCUCGCAACCCACUCCCACUCUCGCAACAGCCAGCACCUCCCACUCCCAACCUGCGUGAACCCCUUCCUCCCACCAUCUCCCUGCGCCGACGAACCCCUUCCUCUCACCACCUCCCAGCGCCGCCGAACCCUUCCAGUCUUUCACACAGCGCCGCCGAACCCUUCGUCUCAGCACCUCCUCGCGGACAGCACCAGCCAACCCCAUCGUCGCGGAGCCAGCACCACCUCGCCGCCACCCACAGCAUUGUUUCUGGCCUCGCAGAGACAGCACCACCCAGCCACCCACAUCAUCGUUUCUGGCGUCGCGGAGACGCGGACAGCACCCGCCACCAAGCCACCGAGUCAAGUCAGAUAUGGAGCCUCCAAUUCAGGGAAAUUCUGGUUUAGGGUUGAUUCUGAACUUUUUAGUUUAGAGGAAGACUUUGGAAGCUGUUCACGAAGCUGACUUUCAAGAAGCUGUUCACCAUUAUAUGAUUGAUGAGAAGCUCCUGAAAUUGAACAAGGAUGGCCUAAGAUUGAUGAGAAGGCGGAUAUGUACACCUUAGGUGAAAGGAAGAAUUUGUGGAAUUGGUGCACCACAUGAAUAUUUUUGGAAUUAGUUUGGUUGUAUUUUUUACUUAGUUUGGUUCUAUUUCUUGAUUCAGUUUGGAAUUGGUGCACCAUUUUUGCAAAAUUUUUGGAAUUAAUUUGGUUGUAUUUCUUGAAUUUCUUGAUUCAGUUCAGGUUGAUUAUUGUUCUAUAUGCUUCUGCUGUUUUUGUAACAAAAUUUGUUAGUGAUUUAUAAGUUGAUCA
This is a long non-coding RNA of Arachis duranensis, 840 nucleotides long. RefSeq lists it as uncharacterized. The record is from RefSeq and is a predicted model, not a curated record. NCBI's taxonomy places the organism in Eukaryota, Viridiplantae, Streptophyta, Magnoliopsida, Fabales, Fabaceae. The transcript has 3 exons.